UUACAGGGGAAGAUACAGGUAACUAACACACUGUUACACUGUUACAGGGAAGAUACAGGUAACUAACACACUGUUACAGGGAAGAUACAGGUAACUAACACACUGUUACAGGGAAGAUACAGGUAACUAACACACUGCUAUAGGGGAAGAUACAGGUAACUAACACACUGUUACAGGGAAGAUACAGGUAACUAACACACUGUUACAGGGAAGAUACAGGUAACUAACACACUGUUACACUGCUACAGGGGAAGAUACAGGUAACUAACACACUGCUACAGGGAAGAUACAGGUAACUAACACACUGUUACAGGGGAAGAUACAGGUAACUAACACACUGCUACAGGGAAGAUACAGGUAACUAACACACUGCUACACUGCUACAGGGAAGAUACAGGUAACUAACACACUGUUACACUGUUACAGGGAAGAUACAGGUAACUAACACACUGUUACAGGGGAAGAUACAGGUAACUAACACACUGUUACAGGGGAAGAUACAGGUAACUAACACACUGUUACACUGUUACAGGGGA
Long non-coding RNA from Oncorhynchus tshawytscha (Chinook salmon), 536 nucleotides. The record is from Ensembl. NCBI's taxonomy places the organism in Eukaryota, Metazoa, Chordata, Actinopteri, Salmoniformes, Salmonidae.